This 468-nucleotide ribosomal RNA is filed under the name uncultured bacterium. RNAcentral describes it as "partial 16S ribosomal RNA". It matches the Rfam family "Bacterial small subunit ribosomal RNA", at positions 28 to 507 of the family's 1533-position model. The record is from RNAcentral.
GACGAACGCUGGCGGCGUGCUUAACACAUGCAAGUCGAACGGAAAGGCCCUGCUUUUGUUGGGUGCUCGAGUGGCGAACGGGUGAGUAACACGUGAGUAACCUGCCCUUGACUUUGGGAUAACUUCAGGAAACUGGGGCUAAUACCGGAUAGGAGCUCCUGCUGCAUGGGGGGGGAUGGAAAGUUUCGGCCGUUGGGGCUCGACUCGCGGCUUACCAGCUUCUUUGUGGAGUAGUGGCUUACCAAGCCUUUGACGGGUAGCCGGCCUGAGAGGGUGGCCGGCCACAUUGGUCCUGCGAUACGGCCCAGUCUCCUACGGGAGGCAGCAGUGGGGAAUAUUGCACAGUGGGCGGAAGCCUGAUGCAGCAGCGCCGCGUGCGGGAUGACGGCCUUCGGGUUGUGAACCGCUUUCGACUGUGACGAAGCGUGAGUGACGGUAAUUAGUAAAGAAGCCCCGGCUAACUACGUG